Molecule: long non-coding RNA, 377 nt
Organism: Pseudophryne corroboree (corroboree frog)
Lineage: Eukaryota; Metazoa; Chordata; Amphibia; Anura; Myobatrachidae
Exons: 3
Source: RefSeq, a predicted model, not a curated record
GGUGUGGAUCAUUUAGUUAAUACGGUAAAUUUAUUUUGCACAGUGUAUUUUUCAGCAAAACUUAUAGGAUCAUUUUAUUUCAGAAUACUGUGAUAGACACCGUGGGAACUCUUUUAGGAGGCAUUUUAAACCCCAUUCUUUGUAACAAGGAUGGAGGUCUUCUAGGUCUUGGAAUUUCACUUGGAAAUCCAGUCGGCAAAUGAGUCACAGGAUUCCAAUUGAAGCAAAUCUGCUUCCAAAGGAGAAAACUGUUUCCGAAUAUUUGCAAACCAAUAUUUAUGAUUUCCUGGGAAUAUCAUUCUCAUUGGAUCGCCCAUGUUUUGGAGAAGUCUUGAUUGUUGCUUUAUUUCCUGAAUGAUUUUUUUAAUCAAUAAAAU